AGAGUUUGAUCCUGGCUCAGGACGAACGCUGGCGGCGUGCUUAACACAUGCAAGUCGAACGGAAUCCAUGGUGUAGCAAUACACCGGAAGAUUUAGUGGCGAACGGGUGAGGAUCACGUGAGAAACGUGCCCCAGACACUGGGAUAACAAUUGGAAACGAUUGCUAAUACCGGAUGACGUCGGAGAAUCGCAUGAUUCACUGACGAAAGAUAUUUCGGUUUGGGAGCGUCUCGCGGCCUAUCAGCUUGUUGGUGGGGUAAUGGCCUACCAAGGCAACGACGGGUAGCUGGUCUGAGAGGAUGAUCAGCCACACUGGGACUGAGACACGGCCCAGACUCCUACGGGAGGCAGCAGUGGGGAAUCUUGCGCAAUGGGCGAAAGCCUGACGCAGCAACGCCGCGUGCGGGAUGAAGGCCUUCGGGCUGUAAACCGCUUUCAGCAGGAACGAAAAUGACGGUACCUGCAGAAGAAGGAGCGGCCAACUACGUGCCAGCAGCCGCGGUGACACGUAGGCUCCAAGCGUUGUCCGGAUUUAUUGGGCGUAAAGAGCUCGUAGGCGGUUGAGUAAGUCGGGUGUGAAAACUCUGGGCUUAACCCGGAGACGCCAUCCGAUACUGCUCUGACUAGAGUUCAGGAGGGGAGUGGGGGAAUUCCUAGUGUAGCGGUGAAAUGCGCAGAUAUUAGGAGGAACACCGGUGGCGAAGGCGCCACUCUGGACUGAAACUGACGCUGAGGAGCGAAAGCAUGGGUAGCAAACAGGAUUAGAUACCCUGGUAGUCCAUGCCGUAAACGGUGGGCAC
RNAcentral lists this ribosomal RNA (800 nucleotides) under uncultured bacterium. RNAcentral's name for it is "bacterial SSU rRNA". It matches the Rfam family "Bacterial small subunit ribosomal RNA", at positions 8 to 816 of the family's 1533-position model. The record is from RNAcentral.